CCCGCUGAACUUAAGCAUAUCAAUAAGCGGAGGAAAAGAAACUAACAAGGAUUCCCCUAGUAACUGCGAGUGAAGAGGGAAAAGCUCAAAUUUUGAAUCUGGCGGUCUUUCGGUCGUCCGAGUUGUAAUCUAGAGAAGCGUCUUCCGCGCUGGACCGUGUAUAAGUUUCCUGGAAUGGAACGUCGUAGAGGGUGAGAAUCCCGUCUUUGACACGGACUACCAGGGCUAUGUGAUGCGCUCUCGACGAGUCGAGUUGUUUGGGAAUGCAGCUCAAAUAGGGUGGUAAAUUCCAUCUAAAGCUAAAUACAGGCGAGAGACCGAUAGCGAACAAGUACCGUGAGGGAAAGAUGAAAAGAACUUUGGAAAGAGAGUUAAACAGUACGUGAAAUUGCUGAAAGGGAAACGCUUGAUGUCAGUCGCGUCGGCCGGGGAUCAGCCUUGCUUAACCGCUCGGCGUACUUCCUGGCAGACGGGUCAGCAUCAGUUUCGACCGUCGGAGAAUGGCUCGGGGAAUGUGGCACUCUUUCGGGAGUGUGUUAUAGACUCGAGUCGAAUGCGACGGUCGGGACUGAGGAACUCAGCACGACCUAGGGUUCGGGACUUCGGUCCACGUUUGCGUGCUUAGGAUGCUGGCAUAAUGGCCUUAAGCGACCCGUCUUGAAACACGG
This 668-nucleotide ribosomal RNA is filed under the name uncultured fungus. RNAcentral's name for it is "eukaryotic LSU rRNA". It matches the Rfam family "Eukaryotic large subunit ribosomal RNA", at positions 24 to 664 of the family's 3401-position model. The record is from RNAcentral. Lineage: Eukaryota; Fungi.